GCACCCGUAGCUCAGCUGGAUAGAGUACCUGGCUACGAACCAGGUGGUCGGGAGUUCGAAUCUCUCCGGGUGCGCCA
Molecule: transfer RNA, 77 nt
Filed under: Pseudomonadales bacterium
Lineage: Bacteria; Pseudomonadati; Pseudomonadota; Gammaproteobacteria; Pseudomonadales
Also listed under: 2 other names
Description: tRNA-Arg
Rfam family: tRNA
About the family: Transfer RNA (tRNA) molecules are approximately 80 nucleotides in length. Their secondary structure includes four short double-helical elements and three loops (D, anti-codon, and T loops).
Source: RNAcentral